GAAAAGGCCGAGGCUUUAGCCAGGGCAAAAGGAAAACAAGCAGUGGUGAAUGAAGGUACUCCUGUAGUGACACCGGUGCCUGGUGGAUCGGAAAAAGAACUUGAUGAUGAAGCAGAAGAAUUUCUAAGAAUCAUCAAGAAGUCUGAGUACAAGCUUGUUGACCAUCUGCAGCAGACUCCAUCCAAGAUAUCAAUCUUGUCAUUGCUGUUAAGCUCUGAGGGGCAUAG
RNAcentral lists this long non-coding RNA (227 nucleotides) under Lathyrus oleraceus (garden pea). Its description in RNAcentral is "Pisum sativum (pea) long non-coding RNA (PSAT_LNC019000)". The record is from RNAcentral. Lineage: Eukaryota; Viridiplantae; Streptophyta; Magnoliopsida; Fabales; Fabaceae.